RNAcentral lists this ribosomal RNA (119 nucleotides) under Aegilops tauschii subsp. strangulata. Lineage: Eukaryota; Viridiplantae; Streptophyta; Magnoliopsida; Poales; Poaceae. The record is from RNAcentral.
GGAUGCGAUCAUACCAGCACUAAAGCAUCGGAUCCCACCAGAACUCCGAAGUUAAGCGUGCUUGGGCGAGAGUAGUACUAGGAUGGGUGACCUCCUGGGAAGUCCUCGUGUUGCAUUCC